This 657-nucleotide ribosomal RNA is filed under the name Oxytorus luridator. RNAcentral describes it as "eukaryotic LSU rRNA". It matches the Rfam family "Eukaryotic large subunit ribosomal RNA", at positions 546 to 827 of the family's 3401-position model. Lineage: Eukaryota; Metazoa; Arthropoda; Insecta; Hymenoptera; Ichneumonidae. The record is from RNAcentral.
CCAAAAGAUCGAAUGGGGAGAUUCAUCGUCAGCGAUCCCGGUUCGUGUGCGGUUCGUGAUGCCGGGGACCUCGGUCUCAUGGCACACGUCCGCAUGGUUUUAUUGCCGGGUGUCGUCGGCGUGCACUUCUCCCCUAGUAGGACGUCGCGACCCGUUGGGUGUCGGUCUACGGCCCGGGUGGUCGCCUGUCAUGUGUCACGCUUCACGGCGCCAUGUGGCAGACCCCCGGUCGUCUGACCAGCUGCUCGGCGGUACUCGCACGGUAUCGAGUCGCAAAUAUUCGAACUGCGUCCGGCCCGCCGCAAGCGAGGCCAGUGUUUUCCCGGAUGUACGGACCUAGCGCCGUCACCGGGCCUGGCCAGCUGUUGGUUGGCGGUGUCCUGGGACUGACUCUAAAUAAUUAUGAUACCGGUCGGCGACGCUACUGCUUUGGGUACUUUCAGGACCCGUCUUGAAACACGGACCAAGGAGUCUAACAUGUGCGCGAGUCAUUGGGAACUCUUAAGCCUAAAGGCGCAAUGAAAGUGAAGGUCGGCCUUGCGCCGACCGAGGGAGGAUGGGCCGCGUCACGAUGCGGUCCCGCACUCCCGGGGCGUCUCAUUCUCAUUGCGAGAAGAGGCGCACCCAGAGCGUACACGUUGGGACCCGAAAGAUGGU